GACGAACGCUGGCGGCGUGCCUAAUACAUGCAAGUUGAGCGAUGAAGCUUGGUGCUUGCACCAAUUUGAAGAGCAGCGAACGGGUGAGUAACGCGUGGGGAACCUGCCUUUGAGCGUGGGACAACAUUUGGAAACGAAUGCUAAUACCGCAUAACAACUUUAAACAUAAGUUUUAAGUUUGAAAGAUGCAAUUGCAUCACUCAAAGAUGAUCCCGCGUUUUAUUAGCUAGUUGGUGAGGUAAAGGCUCACCAAGGCGAUGAUACAUAGCCGACCUGAGAGGGUGAACGGCCACAUUGGGACUGGGACACGGCCCAAAAUCCUACGGGAGGGAGCAGGAAGGAAUCUUCGGCAAUGGACGAAAGUCUUACCGAGCAACGCCGCGUGAGUGAAGAAGGUUGUCGGAUCGUAAAACUCUGUUGGUAGGGAAGAACGUUGGUGAGAGUGGAAAGCUCAUCAAGUGACGGUAACUACCCAGAAAGGGACGGCUAACUACGUG
This 497-nucleotide ribosomal RNA is filed under the name uncultured bacterium. Its description in RNAcentral is "partial 16S ribosomal RNA". It matches the Rfam family "Bacterial small subunit ribosomal RNA", at positions 28 to 507 of the family's 1533-position model. The record is from RNAcentral.